AAUCUGUGAAGAGAAAACAAUGUGAAAUACUAAAGCAGCAAAGACCUUUUCACAUACUGUUAAUCCAUUUGAAAACAUUAAAAGGAAAGCAAGCUCAUAUGGUCAGUUUUUUUAUUUAUUAUUUAUUUUGUUGGGGGUUGGGGAACUUGUGAGUGAUCAGCAAACGUAAUUGUAUUAUCAUCAAUUCUAGGGAUCAACUAGAUUACUUCACCUUGCCUUUAAGUACUUCAGAUAAAGCACUUACGUACAUGAUAACAAGACUUGUGAUUGAAUUCGUAAAGAACAUGACAAAGAAUUGUGAUUCCAGGAGUCAAUAAAUGUGAAGAGAAUAUAGAAGAGAUUCUAAUACGAAGAGAAUUCUAACAACAUCAAAUCUGAAAUGAUACUUACAUCGAUGACAUGUGAAAUUGUUUGUACAUGGAAAAACUCCACGUCUGGUUUUAGUCAAGAAAAAAUGUAAACAAAACAGAUUAGCUCCAUAUCGUUGCCAAGUGAGGUCAACAACAGUAGAGUAACAAAUGGCUGUCGUGAGAAGAUUUCUUGCUUUCAUUGAAAAGCAAAUGGCACCAUCAAAACAGAAAUGAAGAUUUAAUGAUAGAAUGACCAGCUAUAUGCGCAAAAUACUUCAUGUAGAGGUAAUUACCUUCGUAACUUUUUUUGUUUUUAAAGGAAUUACCACUGUAACUUAAGCUGGUAUAAUAGGAAAGAAAAAGGGAACUUACAAGUUAUUUUCCACUGAAGAACUCCGGAACAAAUUCAGAUUUAGAUUCCUAGUUAAAAAAUGAUACAUCUAUCAGGACUUAGAUCCAUCACAGGAUAUACAUGGAGGUAAACAGAAUCAGAUAAUUAUUCACUUAAGAGAAAUAUACUGACGGUUUCUCACGGCAAGCAGGCUGCUCAGGACUCUGCCAAGUGAAAUUAUUGUAAGAAAGGUCCCUGCAUGCAAGAAAGAAACAACGAUCUUUUCAUUGUAGAUGGAAAUUUAAUUUAAAAUGAUGAAGCAAUUGAAAGAUACAAGAGAAUGUCUUUGUGUUUGACACAACCCCCUCACUGCUAUCCUCAUCAAAUGAAAAAGCUAAACCUCAAAAUUGUUUUGUUUCUAAUAUGUGCUAGUUGUGAUAUGUGAUGUGCUCCACAAAGCCUAACAUAAUGGCUUGUUCAUAUGCCUCCAGCAAACUCAUUUUCAACAAUAGUAAAUUAACAGAUUAACAAAUUUAUAGAGCUUAACGAUGGAUAACAAAUGCACGUUACAAGGAUUGAUGCUCAUAAACUCCUCUGAUAAACAUAAGAAUCUAAAAUCCAAGAGAUAAGGUACACACACAUUAGUUCCUUUCUUCAGGAUUGACUCCGGUACAUUCCCUUGGAUAGAAUUGCCGGUAAGAAAGCUGAUAAAGGCCAGAUCAAGCAGUUAGUAUCUGGACAUUUGAAAAUUAGAAUAGUAAAAUUAAAACUUUUGUUUCAGUAACUUGCGUGAAUUUCAAAUCGGCUGGGAGUGCAACAUCGGGAAGUUCCCCAGUUAGAUGAUUAAAGCUGAGAUCCCUAUAAAAGCCAAAAAAAAAAAAAAAAGAGCGAGAAUAAAAAUUUAUACGUGUGCUAAUUAGAGACCCUAACUACAUAUGAUGAUCUGCACAAUAGAACAUAGGUAAUCGAAAAGUAAGUAAGUAACAUACUUACAGAAACCGAAGAUUUUUUAUUCCCCAUAUAUAUUCAGGUAUCUCUCCAGCUAUAUUACAGUUCCUCAAAAUUCUGGAAAUCCAUCAACAAUCAAAUCAGAUGAAGCAAUUUUGAGGUGAAUAAACUCCAUUAAUGUGAUAAAAAUGAAGAGUCAUACAUCCGUGUAAGGCCUGUCAUGUUUCUAAGCAUCGGAAAAGUCUGAUUCAUUCCUUGCAAGUCACUAAUCCUCCUGUUCAUAUAAGUAUCGUCAUUAACAGAUCUUUUCAGCAAUAUUCAAUAUGCUAAACUAUUAUGACAAUGAAAGUAUUAAAUCAUUUGAAUUAUUGUAAAAGAAUACUUAUUAAAUUUUCACUGACAAUUGAUUUAGCUUAUCCAAAGCAGAGAUUGAUGGCGGAAUGGGUCCUUCAAGUCCACUACCUUGAAUUUCUCUGCAUUAAGUUAAGUAAAGCAAUCAAUAAUAUUUCAAGGGCCUGACAGUAACUUGAACAAUUUUGGCAUGUCGAAGAGCCUACAGUCUGUUAAGUUGUGUCCAGCUUUGUAUAAAAUCUGGCACACUCCCAUUGAAGUUGUUGUCAUUAAUCCUACUGCAUUGUCCAACAAGAACAAGAAUGAAUUAUGGCUUACACUUUCUGCCAAAUUUCAGAAUAUCCUCAGAAUAAACUUUUGAAAAGCUUACAAGUCUGUUAAAUUUUUCAGCUUCACAAGUUCCAUUGGUAAAUUUCCAAUCAAUCUAUUGGAUGAUAGUCUCCUGCAAUAAAAUGUAGAUUAUCCUCCGAUGAAUAUGCUGAUAACGGACAAAAACUGAACGUAAAGAAACCCCAUAAAUGCCUUACAAGGUUUCCAAGUUAACGAAAUUCCCAAGCUCUUGAGGUAUUGUUCCUGAAAAUUGGUUUUCUUCAAGGUCCCUGGUAAACAGAUCCAUUGAGAUUUCUAAUAAUCGCAGAACAUAUUGGUAUAAAAACUUAAAGGACUCUUACCUGCAAAUUUGCACAUACACAUGAACAAAGAAAAUAUUCUGAGGAAUAAUUAAGCAUAAGACUUCUAGUUUAUCUCCUUGAAGAAACAAGAAUUUUGUUCUCUCAGUCAAAGAAAUAAAAAAUAAUUGGAAAAUUCAUGAAAUUUAAAAUAAUGAAAAACUAUAAUCAGUUCAUUUCUGCAAGUCCAUCAACUGGAUAUUGUAGUCAUGAUGAGUUUUCGAAGCUUACAAGUAUGUGAGACUAGUAAUGUUCCCCAAAUGGCUUGGAAUAUUGCCUGACAAUCGGUUUGCAAAAACAGAUCUGCAUGGACAAUUCCAAUAUGGUUAAUUCAGUGAGACAAACAAAAUUUUAUUUGCUCGACUGAUAGAAAGAUGCAGAUAUAGCUUACAUAUACUUCAGUUGCAUCGAGGCCCAUUCACGUGGUAUCGAACCAUGCAGAUAGUUGUAAGCAAAAUCACUGCAUUCCACAACAAUAUCAAUCAAAUUUACAAAUUGGUCUGUAAAAGAAAGAAGGAAACGAAGAUAUUCAUAAUGCAGUAGACUAAUAGGGGUGCAUUUAGUUACAUUUUUGGCAUGGGUCUAUUUUUUGGUUCUGUUCAAAUGAAAGAGAAGUACAGUUUUAAAAAGUUGCCUGAUUUUUAGUGUUUACGCUUUGUAAAAGAACCAUAGACCAGCUAAAAAAACAUUUUCAAUCGAUAAAUUUCCUCCAGCCACAAGGUUUUGUUAUGAUUGUUUUAGUUUCAGUUCUCUCUUCCUGAAGCAGUUACUCAUCUAUUUGAAAGAUUCCAAACCUUCUUGUCUUCCGCUCUUGGUUCUAAAAUAGUGUCUCCAACAGAAGAUACCCAACACCAAGAUAAUGAGACAUGAUCCUAUAAUAACGCCAGCAACAAUUGGUGCAAUCGUCUUUUUUCCUGCCCCAUAGAGGGGUUUGAAGUCUGCCAGAAAGCAUAAGCCAAGAAAUUAUGAUAAUCAGAAACAACAAACAUAGGAAGAAAGAAUGACUGUGAGUAUUCAAGACUAUAUCGAUUAGUUGGAUGUUUGCUUUAAAUUUUCAAAUGGUUUUCUACCAUAGGUGCUGUGGCUUACAGUUCUUAGAUUUCACACUACUGGAGCACUUGAACUUUUAUUCUCAAAAUGAUUGUACAACAUGUCACAUUGUUAGCCCGACAUGGGACAUGGAAGAAGUGGAAAAGAAAAUCACUCACUGGGAUCCACAGAAAUAGCUGAUAUAAGAGGCCCAUAAACUCCACCACUAGGAAUUGCAGUAGUGCCUUUGCCAGCCCAUUGGAAGCGAAUCUCUAAAAUGUGAUUGGAAACAUUGGCAGUGAAUGGUCUCGUGACUGGCUUAAGAACUCCAUGAGCUUCAGCUUCAAUGUUAAAAUCCUUCUCAACUAAUUUGUCCUGCAACAUAGCAAACCAACAAAAUUUGUAUUUGUUAUCCUGAAAGAAACAAACUCCAUAUGACCAAGUGACCAAGAAAAUGGGCUCUCAAGAAUAGCUUUAAACAUAUCACACAACUAGAGACAUCUCACAAGAUGGUACAUUUUGAAUGGAACACAUCUGGCACAAAAUUAUAAUAUACAAGCCCACAACCCAUCAUCUGAUUCUCAGGCAUCACAGCCUGAGUUGACUCUGAUGAAAAUAUAUUUCUUGAUUGUCAUAAAGUACCUGGAUAUAAAUAUCAAAUAUGCGCCUGCCAAGGGUUUUAUAUGUUUUGUCAUUUGUGAAUUGGAUCUCCGCAAAGUGUAGAGCCACUGAAUAAUUCCCAUUUUCUAAACAAUAUCCAAUAUAAGUAAGCGAAAGAGGAGAAAUACGUGCAUCAAUGUACAAUUCAGAAAUCCCUGAUGACUGUGAAUUUGCAAUAUAAUUAGUAUUUUGCUCAUCAUCAUCAUCUGUGAAAUCUCCUGUGCUACUGAUUCCCCAGUUAGUACCAUCCAGUAAAUGGUAUGUUGCAGCACCACCACCAACUCCUGCAUCUCCUUCGAAUGUGCUGUCAUUUACUUUUACAUUACCUCCACCACAAUUAAUGUGCAAAGAGUGCCAAUCUGUGAAGAGAAAACAAUGUGAAAUACUAAAGCAGCAAAGACCUUUUCACAUACUGUUAAUCCAUUUGAAAACAUUAAAAGGAAAGCAAGCUCAUAUGGUCAGUUUUUUUAUUUAUUAUUUAUUUUGUUGGGGGUUGGGGAACUUGUGAGUGAUCAGCAAACGUAAUUGUAUUAUCAUCAAUUCUAGGGAUCAACUAGAUUACUUCACCUUGCCUUUAAGUACUUCAGAUAAAGCACUUACGUACAUGAUAACAAGACUUGUGAUUGAAUUCGUAAAGAACAUGACAAAGAAUUGUGAUUCCAGGAGUCAAUAAAUGUGAAGAGAAUAUAGAAGAGAUUCUAAUACGAAGAGAAUUCUAACAACAUCAAAUCUGAAAUGAUACUUACAUCGAUGACAUGUGAAAUUGUUUGUACAUGGAAAAACUCCACGUCUGGUUUUAGUCAAGAAAAAAUGUAAACAAAACAGAUUAGCUCCAUAUCGUUGCCAAGUGAGGUCAACAACAGUAGAGUAACAAAUGGCUGUCGUGAGAAGAUUUCUUGCUUUCAUUGAAAAGCAAAUGGCACCAUCAAAACAGAAAUGAAGAUUUAAUGAUAGAAUGACCAGCUAUAUGCGCAAAAUACUUCAUGUAGAGGUAAUUACCUUCGUAACUUUUUUUGUUUUUAAAGGAAUUACCACUGUAACUUAAGCUGGUAUAAUAGGAAAGAAAAAGGGAACUUACAAGUUAUUUUCCACUGAAGAACUCCGGAACAA
RNAcentral lists this long non-coding RNA (5447 nucleotides) under Citrus sinensis (sweet orange). Its description in RNAcentral is "long non-coding RNA (CSIN_LNC000522)". Lineage: Eukaryota; Viridiplantae; Streptophyta; Magnoliopsida; Sapindales; Rutaceae. The record is from RNAcentral.